RNAcentral lists this ribosomal RNA (253 nucleotides) under uncultured bacterium. Its description in RNAcentral is "partial 16S ribosomal RNA". It matches the Rfam family "Bacterial small subunit ribosomal RNA", at positions 524 to 776 of the family's 1533-position model. The record is from RNAcentral.
UACGGGGGGGGCAAGCGUUGUUCGGAAUUACUGGGCGUAAAGGGCUCGUAGGCGGCCAACUAAGUCAGACGUGAAAUCCCCCGGCUUAACCAGGGAACUGCGUCUGAUACUGGAUGGCUUGAGUUUGGGAGAGGGAUGCGGAAUUCCAGGUGUAGCGGUGAAAUGCGUAGAUAUCUGGAGGAACACCGGUGGCGAAGGCGGCAUCCUGGACCAAUUCUGACGCUGAGGAGCGAAAGCCAGGGGAGCAAACGGG